Molecule: RNA transcript, 4442 nt
Organism: Dermochelys coriacea (leatherback sea turtle)
Lineage: Eukaryota; Metazoa; Chordata; Testudines; Dermochelyidae
Gene: SAMD10
Gene name: sterile alpha motif domain containing 10
Exons: 6
Source: RefSeq, a predicted model, not a curated record
CCGCCCAGGUGAAACCGUGUGCGGAAGGGAAGUGGGUGUAUCUCUUCCCUGCUGCAGGGGAAUGAUGCCUGGGAGCCCGGAGACUACCUGGGGCUCGGUGUUGCAGCUGUUGCCUUGAGGGGGUCGAUCGGGGGAAGCGGCGGCCGAGAGAGGCGAGCGGGGGCCACUCAGCUGGAAACGGAGCAGCUUUCCCUUGUCAGUCCGGAUCAAGCUCAGAGCCAGGAUUAAAGCAGCCGCGGCGGCGGCACGUGUGGCCGAGCGAGACCCACCAGCGCCCUGCAUAGCGCGCCGGGGAAGGGAGCGCACAGCCGCAAAGGAGACCCGCCAGACGCAGCGGGCCUGGGGGUGACCAUUGCACCGCUCCCCCGAUCCCCUCCAGCCCGGGGGGACCCCGGAGCAGAGAACCCCGGCGCCCGAGGCGUAGGGGUGGGGGGGAGACCCGGCCGGGCGGCCCCCUGACCUCUCCGGAUCCUGCAACCAGCUGUUGACGGACUUGCAAGCGCGGAGGGAGGGCGGCUGCCUGUGGACCCUGGGCCGCCGGCCGACAGCGGGGAGCGGGCGCUGAAGGACUGACGGGCUCCCUUCGCCCAGGCUUCUCCCUGAGCCGGAUCGGCCGCGGAGCCGGGGCCAGGAGGCGGCUGGGACAUCGCCCAGGCGGGGCGGGGCUGGUGACCUUGCUGGGAUGCCGGCGCCGGUGCCCCCUCCCUCCAGCCAGCCGCGUAGGGGGGCUCUCACGCCGGGGACACAAAGGCGAGGCGGCCGGGCAGCGACCGGGGCUGGGCAGGCGGAUUCUUAGCGCCCGAAGUGGGAUCCCCGGGGCAGGGGCGGGCGGGAGAGAGAGAAGCCAGCGCCCGGCUGGAUGCCCACACGCCCAGAGGGACUUGGGGCAGCGGGCUCGGUCCUCCUCCUUCCCCAGCACGGUUCUCCUUCCCCCGCUGGGAGCCGGGCGCCUGAUGUUCACCGACCUUCGAGCCAAGCUCAGCCCCCCGAGAGGCCGAGAUGGGGCUCUGAAAAUGAGCUACGGCGACCCGAAAGAGAUGGACGCUGCAGCCGCACACUUCAGCUUCUGCCGGAACCUCCUGGAGCACACAGUGUCGGCCGAAAACCUCAACUACCGUCUGCAGCGGAGCACGGGCAGCAGCCUCACCUGGCAUGACGGGCGGAGUCAGAGGUCAGCAGGAGGCAGGACUGUCAAGCUCCUACAGCAGCCGGGAACCGAAGGCUCACAGGGUCGUCCCUGUGAUCACUAUGGCAUUUACCAUACCAGCCCCACGCUAGGCAGCCUUACCAAGCCGGUGGUGUUAUGGACCCAACAGGAUGUGUGCAGAUGGCUAAAGAAACACUGUCCCCAUAACUAUCUCAUCUAUGUGGAGGCCUUUUCCCAUCACGCUAUCACAGGACGGGCACUGUUGCGGCUGAACGCAGAGAAGCUGCAGCGCAUGGGCAUUAUUCACGAGUCUCAGCGGCAGGAGGUCCUCCAGCAAGUCCUGCAACUCCAGGUGCAGGAGGAGGUCCGGAACCUACAGCUGCUCAGCCAAGACCCAAGCCACAGCCGGGGACCCUUCAUGGUGCCUUAGCCUGCUGUCCCAGGAUUUCUCAAGGCUCAAGCCCAAAAUGAGGACUGCAAGGGAAUAGAGGAGGAAACUUGGAACAAUACAGGACUGAAUUCUCUGACGCUGCUUCCUUUAGGGCCAUAUUCCCGACCUUCUUUUGGAAACGUCUUCUAACUGAGCCGUCUGUUCAGCAGAUUGUUCCAACACUGUGAACCGAGCACCUCUGGGAUGGACUGUGGACUACAGAUAUGAAAACCUGAAUCGCAUGCUUGGAAUAUAAAGAAACAGUUUCCAAACCACUCAUGGGUCUUCUCUCCCUCCCUCUCUGUCUCUCUCUCUCACUCUCUCUUUUAUUAAUAUUUUUCUGUGCAGAGAUCAGACAUUUUCUCCAGCAGACAUGGCUGACAAUUAGAGGCAAACUAGGAAAAUGGUCACCAGGACAUGUGACAUGCUCCCCUCUGGGAUCAGUCAAUCACAGGGGGAAAGACGUCAAGAUGAAUGUGGUAGCCGGAGACAGUUCAUUUUAAGGUCAUUCUUAGGACUAAUGACAUGGUCAUUCUUGGGACUAAUCAAAACCAUGCACCAUGAAACCACAUGUGCCCCAAUGACAUGCUUUAACCAGGAGGGCCUCUGGGUCCAGUGCAGGCUGCAGAUGUCCCCAGACUCCGCUAGUGUUAAUACCUCGGAGCUUACUGGGGAAGCUUUAGUUCUCUCUUCAGACUGGGCUGUCUUCCAGUGUCCUAGGAGAUAACGUUAGCAGCAGCAAAUAAGAUGACUGGACAAGCCAGAAAAACUAACAGCAGAGCCAAGCCCCCGGAGAUUGGCUUCGCUUUGUGAUUAAAACAAGAGCUGAGUCACUGAAGCCAGAACGCUUACCCAUAAAAGAGAAAAUGCAGAAUCCACACACUCAACGAGGUCACUGUGACCUCUGGGAAGCAACACCAGGAAAUGUUCAUUGGGCUGGCCUUGUCCUCAUUUAUGGGAAUAUGGAGGAACCAUGAUUAGUUGGUCUGCUUUGGCACCACCCACCUCUGUGACUGGUUUGUGCACUGCCGAUGCAAUCAGAGCUGAGGGAAAACAGGCAGUCCUCUUUGUAAAGCUCAGAAAUGUUGGCUGAGGGAAACUAUGCCGUGGCCAAAGGCCUUGCCCGACUGUUAGCCUACAAAACGGCAAGGUCCUAACAGUUCAUGAAGCUCACACUGGCUGUAUUUAUAAUGCUGUGGAGCCUCCGGGGUAGUUUGGUUCAACAGGAUGUGGUGGCGGGACUGGGCAGGAGACUGGCCUAAGGGCUGAGAAUCAAGGGUUCUUUGAUGCAAUAUUCCAUUGUUUUUGUGUCCUCUCAUACCCUUCAUUUACAGAACUCCUUAUAAAACCUCCAUGUUUGUUUAUAUUUUUUUCACCUGGUUCAUUUGCAUUUCGAGCUUUCGCCCAGGGUUCUGUUCUGAAUUCUGAUUCUCCACCGCACACAAUAAUCCAGGUCUGAAGCCUGAACUGCUGUCCAGGAGUAUCCUGGCAUUGCUGCUGCUUGCCCUGGCUCAUGAAAUGCAAAUGCCUUUCUGGCCUUCGUGACAUGAUUAAUACCAGCAACACUCCUUUACCAUCACAUCUGGCCCCCUCCUUGUACACCCCACCCUGAUAAGGCAGGCAUUGCUUCUGGAACAGUUGGCUGAUGUAUCACAUUUCACAAACUAGCAGGCAGGUAAGAAACUGUGAAACAACCCCUGGAAUUUUCAUCUGCAAUGUCUCUCUCUGGUAUGUCUCAGACUUUCCAUUCUUUUGUAACUUUCAGUAAAUAGGGCAAACCUAUGCACCCAGAAAGCAGUCAGAAGUGUCAUCAGCCCUAAGUAUCUGGGCUCAGGGCUUCUCCACCCACAUUUGCUGUACACCCUCAAAUUUCUCAGGCCAAAAACAAAAACCAAACAAGGCUCGUCUUAUCUGCCCAUUGUGUUAUCUAGAGCUGGGCAAAACUAUUUGCAGUGAACAAUUUAUCCUAUGAAUCUAGCUGUUUUUUCUGUUAACAGAGGAACAGGCUUUGCUUUUUUGUACGCAUUUGCCCAUUAUUUGAUAUUACUCAGCAGGUGGUUUUGUAAACAUUUCAGGUUACGCAGAGCAAGAACCAAUAGUUGGAAGCAGAAGGUAGAAAAAAUUCAAACUGGAAACAAGAUGAAAAAUGUUAAUAGCAAGGGUAAUUGACUUCUGAAACGGCUUACCAAGGGCUGUGGUAAGUUCUCUGUCUUUUGAAGUAUUUAAAUCAGAAUUGGAUGCCUUUCUAAACAAGAGGCUGUAGUUUAACCACAAGUUAUUAAACUAGAUGGGUGAAAAUUUGUGGUCUGUGUUAUGCAAGAGGGCAGACUGGAUGACUGUAGUACAAUAGCCUCUUCUAGUCUUCAAACAUAUGAAUCAGUCAGAAACAAUUACUUUGAGUAUUCACAUAGCAAGAUCUGUGUGAUUGGUCACUUAUUUGUCACAUGGUAUUCUUGCUGCAUCCUGAUUGGAUGAUUCAUGAGCAGGGAUCCUAGUUUUUGGUGAUUGAAAAACAAAACAAAAUUCUCUGAUCAAAAAAACCAUAAAAAUCCACAUUUUUCUGCCAUUAAAAUGAAAAGUUGAACUUUAGCUUCCCUAGCCACAAUAUAUAGAGCUAUCAGUUAAACACAAUAUUUUAUUGAUAUAUUUACAAUUUUUAAGCUGACAGGGCCGGGCCCUGCCCAUUCUCCUGAUUAUCUGAAUUUUUGAUUAUCCGAUCUGGCUCCUGUCCCAAUUAGAUGAGAUAAUCGGGGUUCCACUGUUUAUGUUUUUAUUUGUUCACAAAAUAUAAAAACUAAAGAUUCUCUGUAAAAAUGCAAAUUCCACGUUUUUCCAUGGCAGAUGGGUUUCUAGGAUCCCUGCUCA